UACGUAGGGUGCAAGCGUUAAUCGGAAUCACUGGGCGUAAAGCAUGCGCAGGCGGUUUUGUAAGUCUGUCGUGAAAGCCCCGGGCUCAACCUGGGAAUUGCGAUGGAGACUGCAAGGCUUGAAUCUGGCAGAGGGGGGUAGAAUUCCACGUGUAGCAGUGAAAUGCGUAGAGAUGUGGAGGAACACCGAUGGCGAAGGCAGCCCCCUGGGUCAAGAUUGACGCUCAUGCACGAAAGCGUGGGGAGCAAACAGG
Molecule: ribosomal RNA, 253 nt
Filed under: uncultured bacterium
Lineage: Bacteria
Description: partial 16S ribosomal RNA
Rfam family: Bacterial small subunit ribosomal RNA
Source: RNAcentral